UUGAUGACCACGAUGUUCCUCUGGUCGUCUCUGGGUUGCGGGUCUCCAUGCAAGCUCUCAGAUUUUUUUGGUCAUCCAAGGUCUGGAGCACCAUAUUGCCUGCUGCGUGUUAGGUCUCGGCGUCUAAGGCACAUUUGUUACUAGAAGAGCCAAUAGUCCCGCUGAUAACUUAUCAGUCAGUUGAGUUGAGGCAAGCUUUGUUCAACUGCAAGAGGAGCACCUCGAGCCAGAGAUGGAGAUGGAGGAGGGAGAAAAACAGGAUGAUAUGGAGAGGUCAGGAGGAUGGCGGCACCGAGGGCGACAGGCAGCACUAGGUGACGUCGGCAAUGGGGAUGCCUAUUUUCUACUUUUGUGGCCAAUCCUCAAUCCCCUGUCUCUUCUAUCUAUUUCUGCUGUAACUGAAUUCCUUAUGUCUAAGCUGAAUUUUUCACACUUCAGCUGUCCAGAUGGAUGUGUCCUUGCAGCAAGAAGUGUGGUAUUAUUAUCACUGGGGAAAUAGACAUUCUCUGAAUUUUGCUUGAGGUUUCCGAUGGUUUAUGGUGUUUCAGUUUAAUAAGCGUGCUUCCAUUGUCUGAACAAACCAUGUCUUCCAAAUAAAAUGUUUUCAUGGGAGCUUCAUUAUUAGUACCAUGUGUUCCAAAUAAAAGGUUUCCAUGAGAGCUUCAUUAUUAGCAAGCUAAAUUAGGAUGAGCUUUUGUCAACCGUAGGUAUUACUGUAAGAUUGAAGUGGACAAAUGGAGGGUACCGAAGAUGGACCUAUAACUAGGAGGCUCUUCCAGUUCUGCCAUGGAACGGAUGGGUCGGAGCACGCACCCUCCAAGGUGCAUAGCUACAGACGGACAAGGAGCACAAGCACUUUAAAAG
Molecule: long non-coding RNA, 864 nt
Organism: Lolium rigidum
Lineage: Eukaryota; Viridiplantae; Streptophyta; Magnoliopsida; Poales; Poaceae
Exons: 3
Source: RefSeq, a predicted model, not a curated record